Non-coding RNA from Homo sapiens (human), 117 nucleotides. It matches the Rfam family "Metazoan signal recognition particle RNA". From Rfam's summary of the family: The signal recognition particle (SRP) is a universally conserved ribonucleoprotein. It is involved in the co-translational targeting of proteins to membranes. The eukaryotic SRP consists of a 300-nucleotide 7S RNA and six proteins: SRPs 72, 68, 54, 19, 14, and 9. NCBI's taxonomy places the organism in Eukaryota, Metazoa, Chordata, Mammalia, Primates, Hominidae. The record is from Rfam.
GCUGGGCGUGGUGGCUCACGCCUGUAAUCCUAGCACUUUGGGAGGCUGAGGCUGGUGGAUCACCUGAGGUCAGGAGUUUGAGACCAGCCUGGCCAACAUGGUGAAACCCCGUCUCUG